Molecule: long non-coding RNA, 1994 nt
Organism: Chenopodium quinoa (quinoa)
Lineage: Eukaryota; Viridiplantae; Streptophyta; Magnoliopsida; Caryophyllales; Amaranthaceae
Exons: 3
Source: RefSeq, a predicted model, not a curated record
ACCCGCUAACCCACAAAGUACCCGAUGAGUUUUUUUUUUCCCAAUUUAGCGGGUCGGGUACCCGACCUGCCAAAAUAUAAUAUUCACAGGUCGGGUAAUGGGCCGCGUUCUAAGUGUAGCGGGUACCCGUUAAAUACCCUUUUUUUUGUUUUUUUCCCUCUUCUCUCUCCUCUCUCCUCUCCCAUCUCUCAAACACUCACUCUCAAAGUACAAAAUAGACUCGCACUUCUCAGUCGAAAAGAGGGGUUCUAAACACUCGCAAAUGCCCAUAGAGUGGUGCUGCCCCAGUAAGAAGUUUGUAAGGUGCUGCCAUUGAAUUUGCUUCAUUAAUAGGUUUGCGGAUUCGACUUUGGCGACACCACCUUCCUCACUCCAAGCGAGCACUGCCCUCACCCUCAGGCAACCACUGCACGCACCGCAAAUCACUUCGUUAGCUGCGUCAUCAGGGAUUAAAGACUUGGUUUCAAUUUGGAGCAAUCAACAAUUAUCAUUGAUGAGAGUCAUGAGACAAUUGAAGCUUCAACUCCUCCAUUUGAUUUGUGGCUUUGAGAUAUUAUUUGGAAUUUGGACUUUGUAAUUUAUUUGGUUGUUUUGUUGUUUUAAUUUGAUGUAAACUCUCUGAUUUAACUUUGUAGCAGGUUUUUUGUUUUUUUUUUUUAUUAAAACACAGCAAAACAAACACAUCAGUUUUACGGUUAAAAUGGGUACCCGAUAAGCGGGUACCCGCUUUUACCGGGUCGGGUAAUGGGCCGCUUAAAUUACUACCCGCACUUUGGGGUACCCAAAAACCCAGGUACCCGGUUAUGAACACCCCUAGUACCAAUUUUUUUGCCAAAAAUAGCUAAUCUUGCUCUGUAAAAAUGGUGAAGAACAAUCCAAAACGGGAAAGCUAGGAAAAAGGGAAAAGCAAGGAAAAAGGGAAAAGCAAGGCCCAUAUAUUUUUCAUUCAAGCGCAUAACUAGGUGGAGGAAUUGAACAGCCCUUCAUGGAUGUAAUGCAAGUUUGUAUUCCUUGUUCCUCAAUGGUGAAUGAAAAACUAUAGUUUUGUUCUGGCCAGUUCAAUUUAUAGUCUGCCAACAAUGAAAAUUGGACAUAGUUUUGUUCUGGCCACUCUCUUUUGAGGUAAAUCAAGAAGGUGGAAUUAGCUAUGUAAACUCUGAACAUCAGGCUAAUAAUCUGCUUGGGGUCUGAUACUCUGAAAAUCUGAAAAUUUGUUUGUCAUCAAUAAUGUUUGUCAACUUGUUGUCUUGUGUGUUCUUUGUAGGAAGCAAGAUCUAGAUGGCAGAAUAUGAAAAACGUAGACAAGCAAGGAUAGAACAAAAUAGAAGCAAAAUGAAGGAUUUGGGGGUUACAUCCAUGGCUUAUGAAAUGAAAGAGUCGAUGAAGGGCUCUAAAUAAACGAAAAAGCACUAACUCUUAAUAUUGCGUUAUUUCAUUUUUGUUCUAGAUGUUUGAUAUAUGAUGCUUUCACAAAUAGGAUCAAAGGGAUCAAGAUGAAGAAUUGGGAUAACAAGUGAAGAUGCUACAAGAAGCACUUACUGUUACUGCUGUUUGGAUGCUUUUACUGCUGGUGCUGUUUUUUGCUGCUGCUGCCGCCGCUGCUGUUUUUUGCUGUUACUGUUGUCUGUUGCUGCCCCCUGCUGUUGCUUGCUGCCCCCUACUGCUACUUGCCGCCACUGCUGCUGCUGUCUGCCGCCACUACUGUCUGCUAUUUCUGUUUGCUGCUACGUAAUGCUGUUUGCUGGUUUGUUACAGCUGCUGCCGUUCUGCUAGCUAGCUGCUACCGCUAUUUGCUGUUAUUAAUGUUGUUUACUGCUAUCGCUGACUGUUUUUUAGAAUUUGGAAGUUUUCUUAUUUCCUCACUUUUUGCAAGCCAGAGAUCGUAGUUGCUUUUCAUUCUGUUUGGAUUAUUACGAAGUAUAUUGUUUGGCCAAACAUUAAAAUUGGUGUUUAUGAAUUUUCUUAUAAGACUUAUGAAAUUAUUUCAAUCCAAA